GAUCAUGGCUCAGAUUGAACGCUGGCGGCAGGCUUAACACAUGCAAGUCGAGCGGGGAAAGGUAGCUUGCUACUGGACCUAGCGGCGGACGGGUGAGUAAUGCUUAGGAAUCUGCCUAUUAGUGGGGGACAACAUUCCGAAAGGAAUGCUAAUACCGCAUACGCCCUACGGGGGAAAGCAGGGGAUCUUCGGACCUUGCGCUAAUAGAUGAGCCUAAGUCGGAUUAGCUAGUUGGUGGGGUAAAGGCCUACCAAGGCGACGAUCUGUAGCGGGUCUGAGAGGAUGAUCCGCCACACUGGGACUGAGACACGGCCCAGACUCCUACGGGAGGCAGCAGUGGGGAAUAUUGGACAAUGGGCGGAAGCCUGAUCCAGCCAUGCCGCGUGUGUGAAGAAGGCCUUUUGGUUGUAAAGCACUUUAAGCGAGGAGGAGGCUCCUUUAGUUAAUACCUAAAGUGAGUGGACGUUACUCGCAGAAUAAGCACCGGCUAACUCUGUGCCAGCCGCCGC
This 509-nucleotide ribosomal RNA is filed under the name uncultured bacterium. RNAcentral describes it as "bacterial SSU rRNA". It matches the Rfam family "Bacterial small subunit ribosomal RNA", at positions 15 to 518 of the family's 1533-position model. The record is from RNAcentral.